UACGUAGGGUGCAAGCGUUUGUCCGGAAUUAUUGGGCGUAAAGAGCUCGUAGGCGGUCUGUCACGUCGGCUGUGAAAUCCCGAGGCUCAACCUCGGGGUCUGCAGUCGAUACGGGCAAACUAGAGUAUUGCAGGGGGAGACUGGAAUUCCUGGUGUAGCGGUGAAAUGCGCAGAUAUCAGGAGGAACACCGGUGGCGAAGGCGGGUCUCUGGGCAAUAACUGACGCUGAGGAGCGAAAAGCGUGGGGGAGCGAACAGG
Molecule: ribosomal RNA, 258 nt
Filed under: uncultured bacterium
Lineage: Bacteria
Description: partial 16S ribosomal RNA
Rfam family: Bacterial small subunit ribosomal RNA
Source: RNAcentral